AGUAAAAUGGCUGAGAAAGGUGAAAGAUUGUAAAUCUUUUUAGGGAUUAAGAAAGAUCCUUUUACUA
RNAcentral lists this transfer RNA (67 nucleotides) under Perisphaerus sp. 1 ZQW-2023b. Its description in RNAcentral is "tRNA-Tyr". The record is from RNAcentral. Lineage: Eukaryota; Metazoa; Arthropoda; Insecta; Blattodea; Blaberidae.